ACGGAAGGCAGCAGUGGGGAAUAUUGCACAAUGGGGGAAACCCUGAUGCAGCGACGCCGCGUGAGUGAAGAAGUUAUUCGUAAUGUAAAGCUCUAUCAGCAGGGAAGAAAAUGACGGUACCUGACUAAGAAGCCCCGGCUAACUACGUGCCAGCAGCCGCGGUAACACGUAGGGGGCAAGCGUUAUCCGGAUUUACUGGGUGUAAAGGGAGCGUAGACGGUCUGGCAAGUCUGAUGUGAAAGGCAGGGGCUCAACUCCUGGACUGCAUUGGAAACUGUCAGUCUUGAGUGUCGGAGAGGUAAGCGGAAUUCCUAGUGUAGCGGUGAAAUGCGUAGAUAUUAGGAGGAACACCAGUGGCGAAGGCGGCUUACUGGACGAUAACUGACGUUGAGGCUCGAAAGCGUGGGGAGCAAACAGGAUUAGAUACCCUGGUA
Molecule: ribosomal RNA, 434 nt
Filed under: uncultured Lachnospiraceae bacterium
Lineage: Bacteria; Bacillati; Bacillota; Clostridia; Lachnospirales; Lachnospiraceae
Description: partial 16S ribosomal RNA
Rfam family: Bacterial small subunit ribosomal RNA
Source: RNAcentral